This 405-nucleotide ribosomal RNA is filed under the name uncultured bacterium. Its description in RNAcentral is "partial 16S ribosomal RNA". It matches the Rfam family "Bacterial small subunit ribosomal RNA", at positions 28 to 526 of the family's 1533-position model. The record is from RNAcentral.
GACGAACGCUGGCGGCGUGCUUAACACAUGCAAGUCGAGCGGAGCGGCGAACGGGUGAGUAACGCGUGAGUAACUGCCCCCCUCUCUGGGAUAACAGUUGGAAACGGCUGCUAAUACCGGAUAGUGGGGGAUGGCUCGCGUCCUAUCAGGUUGUUGGUGGGGUAGUGGCCUACCAAGGCGACGACGGGUAGCCGGCCUGAGAGGGCGACCGGCCACAUAGGGCGGAUAUACGGCCGAAACUCCUACGGAGGGCAGCAGGGGGGAAUAUUGAACAAUGGGCGAAAGCCUGAUGCAGCGAGGCCGCGUGGGGGAUGAAGGCUUUCGGGUUGUAAACCUCUUUCGCUAUCGAAAGGGUAGGUGGAGAAGAAGCGCCGGCUAACUACGUGCCAGCAGCCGCGGUAAUUC